UAUUCGUUGGUGUACAGAGCACAUAAAGUUUUGAUCUUUAAAGAGAUGGUGUAAAUCCGUUACGUAUAA
This 69-nucleotide transfer RNA is filed under the name Charybdis feriata. RNAcentral's name for it is "tRNA-Gln". The record is from RNAcentral. Lineage: Eukaryota; Metazoa; Arthropoda; Malacostraca; Decapoda; Portunidae. RNAcentral also lists the same sequence under 9 other names.